This is a long non-coding RNA of Cotesia glomerata, 337 nucleotides long. RefSeq lists it as uncharacterized. The record is from RefSeq and is a predicted model, not a curated record. The transcript has 3 exons. Lineage: Eukaryota; Metazoa; Arthropoda; Insecta; Hymenoptera; Braconidae.
CGCUACUGGCGGUACUUGGGGAUCACCGACGACAAACCCGCGAGAAACCACCGCGCCACCAUCUGCAACUAAAUUGACCGUUAUUUAAAUAUGGAAGAAACAAACGCCUUGUAACCUAACCUUAAUGUCUAUGGAGCACGAAUAAUCUAGAAUUGACAAUUUUAGAAACUCGGAUUUGACGCGCGCAGAAAAUGCCGACGACGUCGUUACUGAGAACUACCAAAAUGUAGGCUAUUGGUUGGAUGAUUUUACCCCUUAAAAUAGGAAUACUAUAAUCAUAUUGUGAAAUUUUAAUUCACAAUUUGUGUUUUUAAAAAAUUCUUUAAAUAAAAAUAUU